Molecule: non-coding RNA, 29224 nt
Organism: Pelobates cultripes (western spadefoot toad)
Lineage: Eukaryota; Metazoa; Chordata; Amphibia; Anura; Pelobatidae
Source: the annotation of a GenBank genome assembly
GGUUCUUGUGCUGAAUCUCUAGAAGUUUGCCAGACAAAAUUAGGCAAAUCAUUACAAUGUCAGCACUAUCUAAACCAUGUAAGUAUUCUUAAGCCUUUUAUUUCUGUUCCUCCUGUUAGCCUGUGGGGUUUAUUCAUUAAACAGCAAACUGUACUGACUUGAAUAAUGAAUUGCAAACUUUAGGCACAAAGCGCAGUUUUAAAAACCAAAGCAACACAAUCCCAUAUUCCUCUACAUAUUUCUAUCAUUGGAUGAUUUUAGUACCACUCCAAUGGCCAUUAGGUGUAAGCCCACCUGCCAUAUUAAGGCGAACCUCUUAGGUGGGUCCUACACUAACAAUCACCUUACUUGCUUCAGCUUCAGGUAAACAUUCUCUGAGACAGAGAGGGUUUUUUUCUAAACCCCUACACACUUAUCAACCCUUAAUUGGGGACACAUGGGAUGGGCAGAAGCAUUUACCAUGGCUGUGUGAUAGAAAAACACAAAAAAUAAGUCCUGCGCUCAGACUUCCACUACUCCUGGGCGGCCACAAUGACCAUCGUACAUAUCAAUACGUACAAGAAAGACCCUGGCAUUUAACAUCUAUAAAUAUUGUGUUUUUGUUCAGUACUUUGCUGCUCUCAGACGUGGCUCUGGAAGGGUUUAGUUACGGUGAUAAUAGUGAUGCUGGCCUUGUAUAGUUAGGAUAUUCUACCUGUUAACAAGCUCAAAUGAGGCAAAACCUGUCUUCUGUUAUGUGGUCUUUUUAACCUGGAGCAAGACAUGGGAAAGUAUUGACUGGAUUGUAAAAUGCCAAAUUAAAAAAAACUCAAUGGCCCCAUAGACUAUUAGCAGCGUAAUUCCAACACUGAGCUGGAGUGAGGUAGUGAUGUUCUAAAAUGUCGAUGGGGCUAUUACAGACAUCAAAAAACAUUCUCAAGCUGCAAAGUCAUUCCUUAUAACAAAACAAUGCUUGUUUUAAUAUACUAUCAAUGGCCCACCUCGGUAUCCCAGAUACAUGUGGACUAGCUACCACUGCUAUGUACACCGAAUACAGUGCAUUGUUAUAAAAAGUCCAUAUGGAACAGUAAAUCAUUAAGCAGGUUUAUUUUUGUAUUUCAGAUCGAUACCUUACCAAUUUAUAGUUAUUAAAACUGUUAAAUAAAAUAAGCAGCUUUGAGGUCUCUCUAUCUUCAUUAAUACACUACUUCUUUUCUUAACUAUAGUAAAACUUCAUAGGAUUAACUUUUAAUUCAUCGUAUGUUCCCCUGUUUCUUCCCUCCCACCCCCUACUCUAUCCUAAUUAUCCCUAUAAUAACCCUUUUAAUCUCACUUUCUUGUCUGACUUUUCCCUAAGCUUAUUUGGAGAGAGAGCCCUUUCAUCUCUCUGAUUGAACUACUAUCAUCAUCAAUUAUUUUUAUACGCCCGUUUGACCCAUCCAUUUCCUCUUUAUUUAAAUUGUUGUUGUUUUAUUUUUUUUGUCGGGCAUGGAAAGCGGGUGUAUGGGAAAACCCCUUGCCACCUCAUUACAUAACAUAUUAUUCAUAUCUCUGUCCUCCUCCUUGUUUCAUUCCAUUUACCUGGAUGAGAGACCCUCUAUAAUCAUUUUUAUUUUAAAACUUCUAAUUUAUCUAUCCAAGUAUCCCAAUAUUCUAUUUGCGUGUAGCGGUUUUCUAAGCUCACUAAGACGCCCCUUUCCAUUUUUGCUUGCCAUAUUAAUUUUGCUAUCACUUCUCGGGUGGGUGGGAUUCGUACAUUUUUCCAAUUCCGUGCUAUCAGUAAUUUGGCUGCUGUAAUGAUGUGUCAAAUUAACAUUGAAUCCUUUAUCUUCGUUUUUGACUUAUUUAAUAAAAUUAUUCCCGGAUCCAUUGUUAAUUUAUUUCCUGUCAUAUAGUCAAUUAAUGUAAUGAUAUCUUUCCAAUACGUAUAUAUCAAUUGGCAGUACCACCAUAUGUGUAAUAAGGUGCCUUUAUCAAUAUUGCACAGCCAAUAUCUAUUGCAUGUAUUUGGAUAUAUUUUAUUUAGAAGAUUCGGUGUCAAGUACCAUCUAUUCGAAAGUUUAAACUGUAAAUCUGUCAAAUUUAAGCAGUGGAUAUGUUGAUAUCAUUUACUAAAAUAACUUUUCCAAACUUCAUCUAUUUGUAUAUGAAGAUCUUUUUCCCACUUUUCAAUUGCUCGGGAACGUUUAUCAUUGUCUUAACUCAUAUAAGACUUUAACAGAUUCAGACAGCAUAUUUUUACAGGUUUUUAGUUCGACGAGUUGAAUAAUCCCGUCUAUUUUACACUCUCUAUUCUUAAUCAUAUACGCUGAGACAAGACCUUUAAUUCUAAGAUAGUUAAAGAUAUCCUUCAGUGCGAUACAGAAUUCCUCACUUAUUUGUUGAAAGGGCUUGAUUUUAUAACCCUCUGUUAUAUCUAUAAUUUAUUUAUUCCCUUGCCCUUCCAAGAGUUGAUCUUAGCAUAUCAUUAAUCACGGAGAUUGGUAUUGCAUCUAUUAUUCUAUUCUUUAGUCCAACUUUUUUCAAAAUAUAUCCCACCAACCUGCUAGAUCUCUUAUUAUAUGUGAUUUGGAUCUUGCCUCCGCUAUAACGUUUUUAUUGUGAUCUAAAAUCCAGAAUAGAGAGGGUAAAUUCUCUACCCCUGUGCUGUUUUUCUCUGUUGAAUACCAUUUUUCCUUUUCUGUGGAUGUAUUCUGUGAUAACAUUAUAUAAAACCGUCUACUGGCCCGAUAACAUUGAUGGAUUUCUGGGCAACUCAAACCUCCAUCUUGUCUUAUCCUGGCUACAUUUUUCAUUUUUACUCUUGGUUUUUUCCAUCCCAGACAAAUUUUUAAAAAGAGGCAUGUAACAUUAGUAACUGAUUUUCGGGACAGUUAAGAGGGAUCACUCUCCAUAAAUAGAGCCAUUUUGGUAAGAGCAGGUUUAUUUUAAUCUAUCUAUAAACAUGCAGGAACUGAUUUUCGGCAAGGUGUGACAAUGGGCAGAGCUUUCGUGGCUAUAUCCUGCCAUUUUCCAUGGCUGUUGGGAACAGGAGUUAUUUUAUUUAAACAAUCAAUUCCUAUGGUUUAUCCCUCCAGUGCAAUAUUAAAUAUGGAAGGUCCUCGAGGAUCUUCCUGCCUUGUUUGAAAUCCAAAUGUAUUGAGAAAAGCUGAAUUAAGUAACAUCAUCUACAGUUUAUCAUCACAGUGUAAACAAUGCACUGCAUUAGUAUGGAGAGUCCAUCUCCAUAAGUUGUAAACAACAUUUAUCUCCAUUAAAAAUACACAGCAGUGAUCAGAGUAAAUAAAUGAAAAGUUUACAUGAAGACCCCUGUCAUGGUGCAUGACUGACUCUACUCCUGAUAGGUGUUUCUCAACACACUUUAUUUCAUUAAAGUAGAUAAAAUCUCAGAUACAAAUGCACAUUUUUAACAUUGCAUAAAAGCAGGUGGUAAUUCAUCAUUUCGAACAAGCAGAACUGGCUUUUAAGGAUUGCUUGUCUCUAAAAAGAAUUCGGGUCUGGUGGCUGCAGUGUCACUCUUUAUUGUAAAACCAGUAUAUCCAGAUGUGGCAUUUCAUACUGGAUACAGCGCGAGCACCCAUUCGUGAGAGAUAAUCUGUGCUACACAAAAUUUAUUCGUUUCUGUUAAACAUGUCUUCUAAUUAGUUGUUUUUUGUUUUUGUUUUUUUGAGGGCAGCUGUGCUUUUGUUUGAACUGGUUAUCCUGUUGUCACAAACUUACCUAUGCUUUGCGCUCGUGCCGCUCCCCUCCUCGGUCACGUGGGCAGAACACACCACAUGGCCACAUUACUGCAAUCCUCAGGUUGCAUGGCCCAAACGCUUCACAUGACUGCACGGCCUAAAUAGGUUUGUACCCACCUUCGUUCUCGCGAACGGACCCCUUUUCUGGUUCGCGCGCCGAACUGCAGUACUUAUAAAUACGUUAUUGCCAUGAUGUCAUGCCCUUAAAGGGACUGCACAAUCUAGGCGACCCCAUGCUGUUUGGGGUUGCAGAGAUGACAAUGGGAACUCUUUUGAACCUAUUUAAGGCCUGUUCCAGUCCUUACUCAUUGCCCUAUCAUGGUUUCUGUCCUGAUACGUGUUAGUGCUAAUAUCAAGUCUCUCUUAUGUUCCUGAUAUUGACCUCGGCUUGUUUCUUGACGUGAUUUUUCUGGUGUCCUGACCCGGCUUUGUACAUACUCUGUGUAUUUCUGUAUUCCUCACCUUGGCUUACCCUGACCUUGUUUCUUGCUAUAGUAAUACAUUAAGUCUGACCACUCUAAGGCUCAGUAAUGCGUCUUUCGCAUCCACCUUUUGUGGCUUUCCACUCUUUCUGCGUGUUGGGGUACUACUCCCGUGACACCUGUUUGUAAGCUAAAAUGCAAAUAUCACUCUAUUUCCUUUGACAAUAAGAACCACUAGAGAUACACAAUAAAACAUGGCUAAUGUAGCAGCAUACCCAGGCAAUGUUUCUUAGGCAAGAAGUCAACAUAAAAAGCAAGAAUAAGGGGCAGAGCUAGCCUGCUGAUAGGAUCAGACGUGUUUUGUCUGAGCAACUGCUACAGAAAACUGGGGCUAGCUGCGGGCCACACGCCUAUUCCAACCCAGAUCGGUAGCAACUCUGCCAAGCAGCCGGCGGUGCUCACGGGGAUACCUCACACGACCCUGUGCGGCAUUGAAUAUUGGUAACCGAGACUUAAAGCUUACCUCACCUGAGCUUGAGCUGGGGUGAGACGGCCGAUCUCCAAGUUCUCCGACUGGCGCUUUGCUGUCCCCUACCUCUGGACUGGAGGGGGUUAUCCCGGUCCUCAUUGGCGAACACUACUACCCGCAGUCGCCAUCAAGCACCCGCAGGCGGCGACAGCCCAUCAGGACUCACCGCCUUCCUCUGCAAAGGAAGAACUCUGUCUCGUAUGUGAACACCCAAGUUCGUGGUACACGGAUGCAGGCCUUCAAGACGGCCUGGGGCUGUGUGGAGGACUUGCUUGGACUCUGCCUCAUGAUACCGCCCAAUCCCCUAAACCUGCCAGCAAACUGGGCAUCGGCUGAUGCGAGACUCCACAUCCCAAGCAUUUGGAUAGUAGGUAGUCGGGCCCUCAUGCUGGCUUACUCCACUACCCGCGGCAUGCCAGGCUACACCUAUAUUCCUCCAUAUGUUUUUACCUACGGAGGAAUGUAAAAUGUUAUCUUUAUUUGACUAUUUUUCCUGAAAAUAUGCUGUAUCCCAGCUUAUCUUUUAUUUUGUAUGCUUAAAACAAUGAGAAGCAGCUUACAAUACUAUACCAGCUAACGUCAAUCAACACAAGCCACUAUCUUUAACCAAGUCAGCCUACUGGAUGACAGGGGCAGAAGGAAAAACAUUAAAAUCAGAGGAGUUCAAGAGACUGUACCUUUUAUAAGAACUGCCGCACCUUAUCAGACGUCUGGUGUCCACCCUCAUAUCACCGAGGCAGGGUAAACCCUUUUUCUUUGACUGGGGCUACAGUAUAGCUAAAUCCCCGCAGGCCCCUACCACAGCGCCACGCGACAUCAUUCUGCGGUGUCAUAAGUUAACCGAGAAAAUAGGCCUGCUAGCCGCCCUUAAAGGAAAGACACCAUAUGAGUUUGAAUCCAACCAUGUCUCCUUCAUUCAGGACUUAAGUAGAUCCACACUAUUAUGGCACAAAGGAAUGCAGCCCAUCACCAAACUCCUCCAAACUGCAUGACUAACUUACCGAUGGUUGACUCCCAGAUCGCUGCUGGGAGUCAACCAGAAGGGAAAACAUACAAGGCUUUAGACCCAGCGAAUGGCCCUGCCUUUCUGGCAACAAUGGGUCUCGCAACACAGGGGUUACCCACACUGGGACUAUUGAGCACUCACCCAAGGAACACUGAGGAUAUCUCCACUCUCAUGCCCAGAGAGGGAAGAAGCCCUGCAACCUGAAUCAAAGCAAGCAAAACGCAGUCCAGUGUUUUUUUUUGUUUGUUUGUUUGUUUGUUUGUGUUUUUUUUAAUCAUGCCAAGGUACCCACACUUUUUUUUCAUUUUAGUUUAAAGUUUCUCCUGUUGGAAUAGGUUGAUAUACACCGAGCCCUUAUGGCGGUUGUUCUGCGCUCCGAUGAUAUAACCCACCAACCUCCCCCCCCCCCCUUAGUGUCACAGUAAACAAUGGAGCACUACACUCAACACCAUAAGUCUAGCUUAUACUGGACACGCAGCCACAAGAGGCCAAGCCCUGCAAAUGCAACGCCACCCAUGCUCCGAAUUACACUUCGCCCUCACAUAGGUGACUUCCCGAUAGCUAACCAGACUAACACUCUGAAUCAGCCCUACACCUUUGGGUUACAAUAGGUUUUAUUGCUACAGAGUGGCAUAUGUUUGUACGACAAUUGUGUUAGUGGAAUAUAUGUUGCUUUCUUUUCAUUUUUCUUUUAAUUUCCAUAUGCAUCGAUCCAGCACUGAUAUAUGUGUUUAUAAUGACACAAACGAAAAGUGCUGACAGGUAUGCAUCACAGCAACCCAGGUUCCCAUCGUUGCCAACGCCACUUCACGUAGCAGGCGGCUUACUAGCGCAAAACCCUGUGUUGUUUCUACACCACCACUAGUGUAUUGAACCAAAGCAUCAUUAUAUGUAGCCCUAGAAUUUACCAUUCUCAAAGUUGGCCAACUCGUUAAAACUGCCCAGCCCACUAUAUCUAAAAAUAUGUUCAAUGCUUGUUUCAGCCAAGUCUCUAUAUUAACCUGUUCAUUGUUAUGUCUCAUGCAUGUGCUGUUGUGGCAAUCAAACUGUGUACAACUGAUAUUACACUAAAAAUAAAAAAAUAAAAUUUAAAAAAUAACCGCUCUCCAUCCACACCUUGCCAUGCUGCUCUAUAAAUAAACUAAAUAGAUUUUUUUUUCCUUUAGAAAUUAAAUGGUUAAUGGACCACUAUAGGAACCCAGACCACUUCAGCUUCUCCUCUAGGUUUAACCCUGCUCCUGAAAACAAAUUAGUUUCAGAGAAACUGCUAUGUUUACACUGCAGGAUUAAUCCAGCCUCUAGUGGCUGUCUCCCUGACAGCCACUAGAGGCCGCUUCCACGAUUUACACAGAGUAAAUAGCACUUAUUUGAUGCUGGACGUACUCGCAGACCUCCAGCAUCAAAAAAGAUCCCAAUAGGAAAGCAUUGAGUAAUGCUUUCCUAUAGGCGGGUUUGAAUGAUCUGGCCGCGCAUACGGCUCCACUUGGCAGCUGACGUCGAUGGAGGAGGAGAGGUCACCAGUGCCAAGGGAGCCCGGCGCUGGAUUAAGGUAAGCAAAUAAAUGGUAAACCAUUUAUUCGCUGCGGAACAGGGCCCUAGUCACCGUUUAGCUGACUAGGGCUCUAUAGCGUUAGGAAUACAUAUUUGCAUUCCUUACGAUGUAGUGUUCCUUUAAUGCUGGAAUCAAUCUCACAUGUUACUCCUGCUUGGGGUUUUACUCCAAUAACAGCUUCAAGUUGGGCUAGUUGCCUGUCCCUGUAGCUGACUGUCCAGUAUGCAUACAGUCUAUUAAUAAAGCUAUUUGGCAAAGGCUGAUUAGCCAGAUCUCUACCCUUUUGGUUUUAUACUGAAGACCACAUCAAUCCUGACUGCAAUAACUAUAGUUUAACAAGAUUUUUCAGAGGGAGGUCUCCGGCCAUGUACAGCAGCCAUUGUAAAUCUUACUGACUCUUACCUGCCAUAACCGAUUUCUGCUUUCCUCAAAUCUUAUAAGCGUUGGGGAAAAAAAAAGAUUUAUGGCAUUAGAAAAAAAGGCAUAUAAAGAUUUAUAGUAGGUAAAACAAGAGCAAGUGUAAAUGUGUUCAGGCUGUAGAUUGAGCAGCUAUGCCCAGUAUAUAGUGGAAAUCAAUCAUUCCUGCACAUAUAUUGCACUGAGAUAGUAAGGCUCAGAGCUCAAACGCCCUGGGGUUCAUUUACACAGAGCGAUUCAAGGUGCUUCAAUCACUCAUGGAAGCCAUCAGAAUUUUCCUGGUACAGGUUCAAUGAUUAGAACUUAACCCAACAAUUGAUCCUUAUCUACAGAUCGGUGAUACAUAAGAUGUGUGCAGAUGUUUGGAUUGUGUAUUUUCACUGAUGCUAAUUGUGCUUAAAAGCUGCGCUGCAAAAGUGAGGCAUGACUGCCCAAUGUGAUUAACAAACGUAUAAUUAGAACCAUGGACUUGUUGGACUCUCUAUACCAGAGACAAGAGCAUUAUCAUUCCACUUGGGCCCCACAGCUGGAUUUCCUGGAUAAGGGAAAUCUGGGGAUAUGGGAUACAGGUUCUGGGGCAGCCCCCUUCAUUUCCCUAGAUCCCUUUUUAUUCUUAGCUCUUUGGCUUUCCCCCCUGCUGCCUCCAAUGCAGGGAGACUGGCCUUGACCGUAUCACGCUCUCUUUUAUUCAUAGUUUCCUACUGAAACACAUCAACCUCUAGAUGUAGUCCAAGGCAUCCCUUGCUCUACCCGAGUCACUCUAUCUCACAUCUUGAAACUAUACGAAUGAUGUGUACCACUUGUUUGUUGUUUCCAUGAGCUCUUUUUGAAAGUCUCUGUUUAAUUUCUGGGAUUCCUACCUCUUGGUUACCAUAUGUCUGUUUUCUAUGCCUCCCCUGCAUGGGAUAUUUUUUUGUUUUAGAACUGUUCAAAAAAGCUUAAAUAAAGAUUGUGUGGCAAAGAACAGAGUAGCAGCGCCUUAUGGAUGCCCUCAGAUCUGGGUCCGGGUGGAACAAUAUGGAAAAUAAGAGGUCCGGAAACGGUGUAUGGUGUAGUAUUUUGAUAUUUUCGUUGAAGUAAAUGAAAUGCACUUCAAAAACGCUUUUGGGCAAAGCCAAGGUGGGGAGAAAUCCUUACAACAUGGGUGGUAUAUUCCCCACCAAGGAAUUUGAUGUGAGAAUCGUCUAGAUAAAAUAUUCUGUAUUAAAUAAGGAAGGACCAGUGUAGCAUAAAAACCCCACUAGUUUUUAUUAGAAAGAAAAUAUAAAACCGUACAAAGGGUAUUAAUAAAUAUAGGCUUUUUCAGUGUCACUUGGAAAAAAACGACCAUAUGGUGAAACGUGUUAGUGUUACCCUUUGUGUUAUUCCUAAAAAAAAAAAAAAAAAAGUUUUAUACCCUACACUGAACCUUCCUGAUUUUAUCCUGAUUUUUUUUUUUUUUUUUUAAGUUGUUCAUAUAUUAAGGUUAACAGGCUAAUAUGGCAUGUGUAAUUCAAGAACAACAUUUAUCCAGAAGAUUUUCACAUCAAAUUCCUUGGUGAGGAAUAUACCACCCAUACUGUAGGAUUGAGCAAAUACUUUUUCUUUUCUUUUUUUUUUUUUCUCUCUCUAAAAGCAGAGAACUUCCAUUAAGAGGAUUAGCAAGCAUCUGAUUGAUACAGACUCUCUUAAUGAGCAGACUGCCUUCCGUGAGAACUUUACUCAGUGAAUCCCUCUCUGGUCCAUAGCUGGAGGGUGGUGCAUCUUUUUAAAGUAAUAAGUACAUUAAUUCAUUGAUCCUUCUAGAUCUCAUUAUCACUGCCCUAAGUCCCCCAAGAAAACCGCCUUCAAUAAUGGUGAAUUUGGGCAAGACAUAUGAAGAACAGCAGUGAUUUCUAGAGGGCAGCUCCAAGACCUUAUUAUAUCCACCAUUCACUUUUUAAUUCCUAAAGUGAAAUACGCACUAAAAUGGUGUAACACCAGGGUUAUUCAGUAAACCAGAACUGUUGGGAGCCAAAAUGAGAGAAACAUUCCAACUUGGCUAUGUUUCCAGCACCUUGUCAUAUACUCUGUUCAUUUCUUGGCAAUUCCCAAUUUAACACAUUUCUCUGUCGGAUUUAUUAGCUAAAUUGUGGACUGAAAACGGCAUUCCUACGAUGGCCAGCUGUGACUGUAGCUGAGAUGAAGAAUAUUUCCAAAUUGGUUAUUAUAGGCUAGAUUCUGCAGUUCUGUUCUCUUUUUUUCAGUUUACAACUCCUAGCUGAGCGAACAGGGCCUUGUGUGUUUGUUACAGUAAUGACAUUAUGGCACAUCACUGCUCCUGAUUGACACCUGGCAUUCUCAAACACCUAUCCAUGCCGUGAAGCAGUUAUAACAAAACCGUGUGUAACAAAAAUGUGACAUGCAAAAUGUAAAAUUUGGGUAAAACCAUGCAACUUGGUCCAGCUAUUUUACUCAUUGCUACUUGGAAUUAAUACAGCGGGGGGUUUGUGAUCGCUGUACAUAGACCUAUAUUUAUAUGACUAUAGGGGAUAUAACAAUAAUCACAGAAACUUAUUUUCCUUUUGGCCAAACCUAGUGGAGAUCUACAUUACUUUUUAAAAAACAUUUUAUUGAAAAACAUUUUCUACAAAUCAAUCCAAUUUACUUUAGUCGUGGCUUCAUACCUAGUCUAAAGUAAAAUGCUCAGACUUCAAUACCCAAGUUUUGGACAGGGGGGCAGACAGGUGAUCUGUACUUUCCUUCAGAGGGUGCUGUUGCAUUGUGCAUAAGAGAUCCUGAAUCACAGUUUGUUUCUAGAUGUGCAAUGAUAAAUGUAGCUUAUCCGAGCCAAAGGGGAAUGAAUGCAGGCUGCAGGUUCCACCUGUCAGACUGGUAUCUUUUCAGAUACACAAUGACAUGCAAUCACUCUCCCUGAAACCUAAAGCUACAAAUUAGUUUAAAUAGAUUUUGAGAAUGAUCAUUGCCUGCACCUUAUGUGAAUUCACCUGCCUAGUUAAAGUACCAGCAGAGGUUAAAACUAAGGCAUUGCUAGAAGAUGACUUAAUAAAUCCAUCUUUGCCAAGUCUUCAAUCUAAAAUCUUUUAAGAGGUAUAUGGCAAUAUACCUCAGCACAGAAUGCACCUGUCAUGGUCGAAUAUAUUUAUCACCUGUUAUAUAUUAAGUGUGUUUGUGUGUGUGUGUAUAUAUACAUUGUAUUUUAUUGUACCCUAUUGUAUCAAUGCAAUGUUUUGUGGACCCAGGACAUACCUGAAAACGAGAGAAAUCUUAAUGUAUCUUUCCUGGUAAAAUAUUAUGUAAAUGUAUAAAUUGCACAGCUCUAUAAACGGAGAAUUGUAAAUGAGUCAUUCUUACUUCAGGAUCCUUCCGUCCUUCUUAUCUUACAUUUACUGCUGUACGCAUGCCUCAAGUUAAUUUAAAUGUAAUUGUAUUAUUAAAUUAUCUACAUAGAGUAAAACAAGGCAAAUACAGAACCUUAAACUCCUCGGCUGUAUCUUGAUUGAGACCAAUUUGAGGGGGUAGCUUGCACAAAUAAAUUGAAAAACAAACCACAAUCAAUAUUUAUCACCCCUCAACUACUACACCAAAAUAAGCCUUAUCAAUUCUAUGUUUAUUGAAUUAACCACUUUCUCAUCAUCGAUUGGAGAGAGGGGGAGGGACACAUUCAUAAAAAAAAUAUGUAUAUUCCGCUUCAUGUACUCCAUAUUGCUGGUUUGUUUUACGGUUUUGAAAGGGGUUAAACAAGAAGGUGAUUUCAAUGAUGAGAAUUGGCCUACUGCAGUUAAUGAUAAAUAGAUCGAAUUCCCUUUGUGGUUUGAUGUAUAUCCUGCUGAACCUAGACAUCAAAGAGCUGUCAAAGAAAGCUGCCCAUGCACUGUUAAUUUAUAACUGCGGUAGAAAGCAAUCUAUAAUCACACAUCACACUUUCUAUUUUAUGAUAACCUAGACAUCACCCCCACCCUAGCCAAAUCCACAGAGAGACCAUCAACUGGGCUGUCACUGGAAGAGGAGACACUUCCACUCGGAUCACCAAGAAGAGUCAAUGAUAUUUAAAGAAACAUUUCAAGAUUGUGUGAAAAUAUUUAUAUCUGAACACCGGUUCGGGUACCAUAUUUUUAUAUCAGUCAAAUAAACCAGCCAUGUGACCUUCUGCAGAACCUCUCUUUGUAAGAGCCUAGAGCUACUCUGAUUGGCUACGGACAUCACACGCACAAUGACAUCUCGUUUUUCUUGUUUUUGUUUAAUAAGUAGCUGAGGGUUUGCCGGCACAGUGAAAAACUGACAAUUCGUCACUUGCAAAUUCCACCUAAACUUACUGUAGCUUGCUUAGUUGAAAGUCAUAGAAAUGUAUUUGCUUAGUUUUAAAAUAAUUAAUGUAAAGGACAGUGCCACUUUAACCACAGUAAGUGUUUAUAAAUUAAUAUGAAUAAAAUACAUUAUCAUAUUACAUUUCUAACAGAUAUCAAGAAACAAAAGCUACGUAAACUGUCCCAAUAUAACACACCGUUUAAAAAGAAUGUUCUUUUACCCCAGUAAAAUGCUGGGAGUAAAUGAUUAAUUAGUUAUCGUUGUAAACGCUCUAGAACGAAGACCAUUUUCAUUGUUUUACAAUUAUGAUUUACCAGUUCUUCUCUGUAUACCUUUACAUGGUGUCAAUUUCCCGCAGGCCAUGAAUUGGUGUAAUCCUGCUGAACUGAUCUUUGAUCCAGUGGCUAUACUUUUACAAGAGUUACUAAAUGGGUCUAUUAAUUAAAACAUUAGCAAUUUCUGCUCCUUCAAGUGACGUUAUCCUGAACAAAGCGAUACACUUAUAUUACAUAGUUACAUAGCUGAAAAGAGACUUGCGUCCAUCGAGUUCAGCCUUGUUCACAUAUGUUUUUGCUGUUGAUCCAAAAGAAGGCAUAAAAACCUAGUCUGAAGCACUGCCAAUUUUGCAAAAAACUAGGAAAAAAUUCCUUCUUGACCCCAAAAUAGCAGUCAGAUGUCUUCUUGGAUCAAGCAGCUAUUACCCCACUAAUUAGAAAUUAUAGCCCUGUAUGUUAUGUUUUUGCAAGUAUUUAUCCAAUUGCAGUUUAAACAUCUGUAUGGACUCUCAUAAAACCACCUUUUCAGGCAGAGAAUUCCUUUAUCCUUAUUGCCGUGUAAAAAAACCUUUUCUUUGCCUUAGAUGAAAUCUCCUUUCUUCCAGCCUAAAUGUGUGACCUGGUGUCCUAUGUAUAGCCCUGUUUAUGAAUAGAUUUCCAGAUAAUGGUUUGUACUGGCCCCGAAUAUAUAUUUAUAAUGUUAUCAUAUCCCCUCUGAGGCGCCAUUUUUCCAAACUAAACAGAUUUAAAUUUUUUAAAUUUUCUUCAUAACUAAAAUGCUCCAUUCUUUUUUAUCAAUUUUGUAGCUCGUCUCUGCACUUUUUUUGGUGCCAUGAUAUCCUUCUUUAGAACAGGUGCCCAAAAUUGCACCGCAUAUUUAAGGUGUGGUCUUACCAGCGAUUUAUAAAGAGGCAAAAUUAUAUUUUCAUCCAGAGAAUUUCUGCCCCUAUUUAUACAUGACAAAACCUUACUGGCCUUAGCAACUACAGAUUGACAUUGCAUAUUGCUGCCUAAUUUAUUGUCUAUAACAAUUCCCAAAUCCUUCUCAUGUGUGGUUAUCCCUAGUUUACUACCAUUUAGUGUGUAAGUUGCUUGUGCAUUCUUAACCCCGAAGUGCAUAACUUUGCAUUUCUCUAUGUUAAAUUUCAUCUGCCAUUUUAGUGCCCAGUCCCCCAAUCUAUCCAAAUCCCUCUGCAGCAAAUCAAUAUCCUGCUCACAUUUUAUUACUUUACAAAGUUGUGUGUCAUCUGCAGUCAAGAUCAUUUAUAAAUAUGUUAAAUAGUAGCGGUCCCAAAGCAGAACCCUAAGGGACACCACUUACCACUUUUGUCCAGCCUGAAAAUUUACCAUUAAUGACAACUCGUUGUACUCUAUCCUUAAGUUAAAUGUUCUACCCAAGAGCAAGAAUAUUCAUCUAGACCGAUUUCUUUUAGUUUGAAGACUAACCUAUUGUGAGGAACUGUAUCAAAUGCCUUGGCAAAAUCCAAGUAGAUCACAUCUACUGCAACACCCUGAUCUAUACUUCUACUUACUUCUUCGUAGAAUGCAAUUAGGUUAGUUUGACAUGACCUAUGUUUCAUAAAACCACGCUGAUUAUUGCCAAUAACAAAGUUCUUUCCAAUGAAUUCCUGAAUAUUAUCCCUUAAUAGCCCUUCAAAUAUUUUCCCAGUCACAGAAGUUAAGCUCACAGGUCUAUAAUUUUCCAGGCAAGGAUUUUGAACCCUUUUUAAAUAUUUUAAAGGAAGUACCAUAUAUACUCGAGUAUAAGUCGACCCGAAUAUCGAAAGUCGAGACCCCUAAUUUUACCCGCAAAAACUGGGGAAACUUAUUGACUCGAGUAUAAGACUAGGGUGGGAAAUGCAGCAGCUACUGGUAAAUUUCUAAAUAUAAUUAGAUCCCCCAAAAAUAUUAAUUGAAUAUUUAUUUACAGUGUGUGUAUAUAAUGAAAGCAGUGUGUGUGUGUGUGUGAAUGCAGUGUGUGUAUGUGAUGCAGAGCCUUGGUGGGGGGUGGGUAUUUUUUUUUUUUUUUAUAUUAUUAUUAUUUUAUUUAAAUUUUUGUUUUUUUUUCUUCGUCCCCCCUCCCUGCUUGUUAGCUGGCCAGGGAGGGGGGGCUCUCAUUCCCUGGUGGUCCAGUGGUGUGCACUGUGGCAGAGAGCUGUAACUUACCUUUCCUGCAGCUCCUGUACGCUCCCUUCUCUCUCCUCCGGUCUGGUCAGCUCCCCUGUAAGUCUUGCGGUGUGACUGCAACGCUCUGACCCCGCGGCUCUCGCGAGAUUUGCAGGGGAGCUGACCGGACGAGAGGAGAGAGAAGGGAGCUUACAGGAGCUGCAGGAAAGGUAAGUUACAGCUCUCUGCCAGCCCCCAACAGGACCGCCGGGCUUGUAAUGAGCCCGGCGGUCCUGGUCUGUAUUAUGGCAAUGUAAGUUGCCAUAAUACAGACACUCACUUGAGUAUAAGACGAAAAACACGUCUUAUACUAGAGUAUAUACGGUAAGUUGUUAAACAAUUUGACUACUUACUCUGGAAGGGCAUCAGGGCACUCCUGGCACCAUAACCACAAUGGGUUGUAGUGGGUUAUGGUGCUUUGAGUGUUCCUUUAACAAAUACAUACAUAUAGGUUAGGUUACGUCCAUUAUGAGAUUAUAUGAUUAAAGGGACACAUGUUGGGUGCACUGUGUUGGUCACAUUACAGCUACACUUGGUAGGCUAACUGUAAAGGUCUGUACAAUAUUUACAAAGUUUGAUAAAACAAGUGUUCUCUCUCUCGCUCGCUCUCUCGCUGUACUUAUUACUAAUUCUGGUUUCUUCCUGCUGCAGACUCUAAAGCCCAUUCAAACUGCAUUCGUUCUCAACGAAAAUGAAAAAAGCGAUUCCAACUCCGCUGUACCUUAAGAAGACACUGAGGAAAAUAAAGAUUUCCUGGUCUGAAAAAUUCCCGUUUGCUGGAUUUUAGCUAAAGUAUGUUGUUUGUUCAAAACCCUUAUACUGGUAGAUGUGAACACAGUUGUUUGACAUCAACAAAUCUCCAAAAAUAUGUGAAUCCUUUGCAAGACUUGCAGUUUGAAGAAUCCAGUUAUUUCCCCUAUACAUUAUGCAUUUCCGUAAAUUGAAAUGUAAAGGUAUUUAUUAAAAUGCUUUCAUAUUGUUUUCAGUAUCAGCUGGUCUUGCGAUUUAAUCUAGAUGAUGAUAAAUAAUGCACAGAUUUCAUUCCAUGUUGCCGUAUGCUGAAUAUUUUGUAUCUGUCAUGUUUUAAACUGAUCUUUCAUGUCUUGGUAGCUUUUUUUGCGUAAUAAAUUAUUCAGCCUAUAUGUUGUUGGUUUCCCCCCCCCUAUGUAGCAUAUUAUUGAGUACAAGAAAAGCUGUGUUAUGUUCUUGUCAUAUUGUUCUUGUAUAUCCCACUAUAUAAACAUUAAGGGGGCUGCCUGUUGUGCCACUUUCUACUUGGCAGAAAUAAGUUCCUCUUGAAAUGUCAUCUUUACGUUGUGCUAGCCAUAUCACAAUCGAAUCGAUGGGUUUCUCUAUAAAAUAGCAUUAGAAUUGUGCUCACUCUCCCUUCUGGCAGACAGACUAUUGGCAUACACUAUAUGCCAAUCUCUAUUUCACGCUUAUUGGCUGUUCUAAAGCACAGAAAGCCAUAAACAGUUUCCCAAAUGGACGCAGUCCUGAGAAGAAUGAUCCUGCCCACGACGGCAGACUGAAGUGCUAGUGGCUGCAGGUGAGUAUGCUGAAAACUCUAUAAAGCUGCAUUGAAGGUCAGUAAAUAAACACAGUUUACUAAAAUUACAUCACAAAAGGAAAAGGAUGCCACAAAGUUUAGAUUCCAGGUUCACUUUAACGGGACAUUCUUAGCAUGCGCAGCAUACAAAAAAGAUUUAGAGUACAUGACUGCAGAACCUUGGCCAAUAAGAAAUCGAUAACCCAUUUCCGUCUGUGAGUUCCAACAGGGAUUGCCUCCUCCAGUGUGCUGCAAUACACAGACAAACCUGAAAGUGGACCAAGGAGCAGAAAUAGAAUGUGCAAGGCACACUACUAGUGCCACCGUUGGAAGUAACACAACACAACCUAAACGUUUCACACAGAAUGUCCCUGGUCACUGUACAAGGGGGCAUGUACAGGACUUCUGGGUUCAGUCUUUUGCAUGGAGAUGCUGAAUGCUCACUAUAGAGAUGCAAUGACUAACUGCAUCUCUAGGAGUAGAUGCUGAAAGGCGCAGCACUGCAAUUUAACGCCCAUGCGCACCAGCCUCCCAAUGGUUCUCUAUGGGAAUUCAGGAUUCAUGAUCCAGCACAGAGACCAUCGCAUCAUGGGAAAUAAGGUAAGUAGAUUGUGGCUUUAAAAAAAAUUAUAAAUUCAUGGCGGGAGGGCAGAUGGCUAAAUAGUUACCGGAGUACAUGUUUAUAUUCCAAACAUCAUCGUGUUUCUUUAAGUUAUUCUAGAUAUAGAAGGGACUCUUUGGCAUCCUCUUAGAUUUAACAAAAUUUAUAAGGUACGCUAUUGUUACUAUAACAAUUUUAGCUUAUUGAAGCAGUCUUGGUAUCUAGAUCAUGCCCCCUGCAGUCUCAUUGCUCAAUUCUCAUCCAUUUAGGAGUUAAAUCACUUUGUUUAUACAGCCAUUUGACACUCAUUUUCAAGCCAUGUUUUAGAAUCUCAAGGGGAGGUAUCACCCAAUAAAACACAAAUCUCCACCCACUUGGGGUUGUUAUCAAUCAACAAGUUGAUCAUUUUCAGGGCUUGUGUCCCUUACUUUUUACUCCAAAAAGAAGAGAAAGGAAGAGACCUCUAGUCUAAGUAUAUCCGUGUUUCCCUCAGGGCACGUCUUCAUAAUUCUGCCAAAUUUCUGGAAGAUAUGGGAAUCGUAGAGCACCCUAUAAUCCUCCUGUUCUACCUUCUUCCCCUCUCUAUUUCUCCUUUAAUUCUUCUCUCCUUUCCAUCUAUAAUCCUACUUUCAACAAAAAAGAAUGUAAGUGGAACAAUGACUACUAAAACAACUGUUAUAUCAUACUAAUUAAAUAUAUGGGGAAGUGUAAAACUGACUUUUAGUCAUAUCGAAGUCAUAUUAAAAUCACCUGCCUUUAGUCAUGCAGGAUAAUUCCUAAUUUCUUGACAUUAAUUAAAACAGUAGGAAUUAUCCUGCUUGACUAUAGCAGGUGACUUUAAAAUGGCUUCAAUAUGACAAAGUCAAUAUUACACUUCCCCACAUAUUUAUUUAAUAUGAAAUAAUAAGGAAAAUUUAAACCAUACUUUUUAUCUAUUUAUCAUGGCAGCGUCACUUUUAGGUAGGUCCGCCCUCAGAACCAGAAGUUAGUGAGCUUGUCUCUAGUGAGCUUGUGUGUGUCAGUGAGCUUGUCUAUAGUGAGCUUGUGUGUGUCAGUGAGCUUGUCUUUAGUGAGCGUGAUUGUAUCAGUGAGCUUGUUCACUCCCUGCAGCGGCCGGCUUUAAUGUUUUAUGCGCAGCUUAGCAAAGGGCUGACAAAUCCAAGGUGCCAGGGCGAAAUAUCUAGUCGCCAUGGCAACCUGACGCCUUAGAUUUGUCGAGCCCUGUGUGUUUGUGACAAAAUGCCCUUCGCCACUUGUGCCUGGAGAGGACUAAUUACCAGCCUCCUGCCCUGCGACUAUGGCCCCUGGAAGAUUUUGCCCUUUAAAUACGUUAUUUGGGCAUAGUGGAUUUUAUUAGACUGGUUCUGGCCCUUUAAAUGCUCUGACAAAGGUUUUGCUAUGCACUUCGGAUGCAGAGUGUGAAGAAAACCCCUGUUUUAUGGACUUAGUUAGAAUGUUUUAUCCCCCACCCCCCCUCCACUCUUAGAACACCAGUUAAACCCUUAAUGCCUGUCAUAUUUUCAAACUCUGUCUGUCUUUAAUUGUCAUUUUGUUUUCCUCUGAGGAGGAGUUGUUUUGCUGCAUGAGUGCUGUUGCUUUUGUGUGCUCAUUAAACAGACCUGCUUGAACCUUUCUUGAAGCCUUGGCUCAUGCUUGGGGGAUGGGAUAAGUCUGCAGUGCUGAUGGUGUCGGUUGGAGUGCUUGGAGUCCUCGGCAAGCACUAGGAGCAUCGAUUGGCGGAGGUACUCGGUCGGAGUGCCAGUUCGUCCAUCACAUAUAUACACAUACACACACACACACACACACACACACACACACACACACAUACAUAUAUAUACUGUUCAAGUAUAUAUGUUUUUUACAUAUAAUAAUAUUAACAACUAGUAUUUAUAUAGCGCCUUUCUCCCAGUGGGACUCAAAGCAUUUCUCAGCGCACACUCUCACACUCUUAAUCAAAUCGGCAGCUUAAUAGUAAUAUAUAUGUAUAUAUACACAUACACACACAUAUAUAUAUAUAUACACGUUUUAUAACUGCCCCCCUACUUUUGUCCCUGGCCCCUCCUGUGCCUCCCCUAAAUAUGAAUCCUGGAGAUGCCACUGGGACUAGUUCCUUUAAUCUAUCAUAAGUGACUAUCGCUUCGUCUGUAAAGGUGUAUGUAUCGUUCGAGGCCUUUGUGUUCAACCCCCCUAAAAUCCUUUGUGUUGAGAUCCGGUGGGAAUGCCCUGUUUCUGAGAACUGGGGUCAUCGGGGAUCUAGAAACCUUUUUAAGGUAACCUUCUCCGUUUUUUUCCAUUCUACAAGUAUUUUGUCCUUGAUAUAAUCAUGGACAGGAAAGUUAGACCUAGUAGAUUUCAAGUCCUAAAAAUACCUGUCAUUCUAGAAAUUCCGAUUUUUCUUCCUGAAUCUUGUCUCUGGUAAGGAGAAUUAGCUUGUUCACCAUUUUGGACCCUGUAUUUCUAUGAUAAGUUUCUGAUUCUUCCUCCUCUUCUUCAGAGAAUUCAGCUGCCUAUUCUGCUUCUGAAUUUGAAGAAAUGGUCUUUGCUUUCGAGCGCUUGGUCUGCUCAUGAUUUUUCCUGUGGCUUUAAAGCCUUCCACAAUUGCUUCAGGAAUCCAGGCCUUAAGUUCAUCUUGAGGUAAUGUUUUUGUAUUUUCUUCUGUAACUUCAGUUAGGCAUUUGAUACUUGAUUACAGCCCCCACACCGAUUACUCAUCUACUUAUGUUUUUGAGAGAUCUGUCCUAGCUUCUGCUUAGGCUGUAAUGAGAAUAUAAGGCCAUGCAUUAUAUGUUUAGGUCCAAAUGCACUAUCUUAAUUCCCAGAAUACAUAUAAGCAUAUUGGCUCACCUUGGAUUUCUGAAUAUUGAGGGUGUGACAAACUCCCCUUUUCAAGUGAGUUUGCCAUGAGUUCCUGGAGGAGCCUGCUUGCCAGCCUCCUGCCCACAGACUAUGGACCCUGUAAAAUGCUCCGUUCAUGUAUUUGGAGUAUAUGGUUGGGAACCGAACAGCAGCAUGAACCGGAGACCACCCUGGAGCUUGUUAAGCCUAAGUGCUAAUUUGUAACAAUUUCCACCUCAGUGUUCGUCUGGGUGGCUGCAAUUCCUACGGACCACCACGAGGUGGCAGCCAUCUUGUUCACAUGAAUGCGUUUGGCCGUCGAGUUCAUGGAACUAUUUUCGGGUACUGAAACUCCCGAACACUGCUGGACUUGCAUGAUCACCUGCGUUCGGUUCGACAACACUUAGAAAGACACUGUUCGGUAGAAAUGUUCCCACGAACAAGGGGAACAAGCUCCAGGGUAAGACUAUUGACUAUGUUCGGUAGUUUGUUCAUUUUUAACCUACGAACUAGACCGACCGCAAGCCCUGAUUCUCUGGAACUGUUUUGGGCAUGGGACCAUGCGUGCGGUCGGUCAAACAAAUGACUUCCAUGAAAUUCCUGAACCCCUGAAUUGAUCUGGGUGAUUUUUGGAUAUGUUGGUCACCCAGAUCAGGGCUAUUUUUAUGUAUUUUUAGGGUACUUUUGGGGUGUUUGGGAAAAAGUAUGUUUUUUUCUGUGCUUGGAGAUAUUUGGAUUAGAUUAGUACAGUUCCUGAUCCAAUUAUCUCCCAGGCACACACAAGGGAUUAUCUGAUUUUGUAUGGGAGUGUCCUGGACCUGAGAGCCAAUGUAAUUGUGUAUUUGUUUCUACUGUAGUCUACUCUCAGGUCUAGAAACAUAGAAACAUAGAAUGUGACGGCAGAUAAGAACCAUUCGGCCCAUCUAGUCUGCCCAAUUUUCUAAAUACUAGAUGGGCCGAAUGGUUCUUAUCUGCCGUCACAUUCUAAGCUUCUAUGUUUCUAGACCUGAGAGUAGGCUACAGUAGAAACAAAUACACAAUUACAUUGGCUCUCAGGUCCAGGACACUCCCAUACAAAAUCAGAUAAUCCCUUGUGUGUGCCUGGGAGAUAAAUGGAUCAGGAACUGUACUAAUCUAAUCCAAAUAUCUCCAAGCACAGAAAAAAACAUACUUUUUCCCAAACAUCCCAAAAGUACCCUAAAAAUACAUAAAACCCCACAUAAGUUUCAUCCCCUGAUAGCCCUGAUCUAUUUCAUUAGUCCCUAGCCUUAUCUUAUAGUUAGGAUAGCCUUAUGCCUAUUCCACGCAUGCUUAAAUUCCUUUACUGUGUUAACCUCUACCACUUCAGCUGGAAGGCUAUUCCAUGCAUCCACUACCCUCUCAGUAAAGUAAUACUUCCUGAUAGAAACAUAGAAUGUGACGGCAGAUAAGAUACUCUAGGGGGGAGUGCCCCUUGCAUGACUGCCAUUAAAGGGAUUCCAGCUUGUACUCUCAGAACUAUGUGUCGUCUGGUUACUGGGAAGGGAAAGGGCUAUUCUUUAAAUACUGUUCCAGUGUGGAGGAUUCAACGGGGAAAGUCCUUGUAAGGACUAGAGCUCCUAGGACUGAGUGUCGUCCAGUGCCUGGGGAUGUUAGAGCGAGUUCCCCAUUCAGCUCCAGGAGGGAGCGGUUCCAGGGCCCCAGUCACGUCACAGCGACUGAGGGCAAGAGUGCUGAAGUUUGUCCCCUGUUCCAGCUAGGAAGCGAUCCUUGGCGGAAGUACCAAGUGCACAAAUAUGAUCAAAUACCAUCGACAAAUUAUACGUAAUUCCAAGCUGACCAUGACCAAUAGGAGUUAAGACCUGCCUAUAUAUACUUACUACUCCAAUUCCUUGUUGCCCUGUUGUGGUUCUUGAUUUCCCAAUAGCGCGUUACUGCAGUAAUCGUGUUUGGUAAUUAUUCUUUCUUUUCAUAAUUCUUUUCUUCUGUAAUCCUUUGACCUCAGCUAUCCUUAUUGACAUUGUUUGUCAGUUAGCCCGGCCAUUCUAAGGACCAGUAUAGGGAAAGUCUAUUUGUCGUGAUUUGGUCGGUGUGUUUAGAUUCCACCCAAUCGUGACACUUACUUUGUAGGCUUGUUUCUGUCGGCUACAAAUGAAUAAAUUGAAUAAGUCUCCACAGGUAAAUCCCGGACAAUUGAUUUGUUCGGGUGUGGAUUAAAAUAAAUAUCAUUCCUUUUUGCACAAUGCUACUAGUUUUUGCAAAGGGAAUAUGGAUUAUGGUGUGCACCCGUGAGUACUCAUGCCUCCACUUUACCUAUUCCUCCCUGGCUGAAUCAUGCCUGGCCCAUGUGUCUCCUCUGCUCCUGUGUCUUCUCUGGCUGCACCUUCGCUGUGCACACGCUUGCGGCUCAGAAUCAAAGGCUUUUUAAUGAGUCUAGGAUGGAGAAAAAAAGGGAGGGAUUGCAAAAACUGCAGGCAGAAAAUCCGCAGCUUCUGCAAGCUUUUUUAGAUAUACCCAAAAUGCCAGCAUGCAUAUAUAAAUGCUUGCAUGUUGUCAUUGUGGGUAGAUCUACAAAAAAAUGACUCCCACGUGGAGUUAUCCUCUAAAGCUUUAAUGGUGACUAGAGUAUUUUUUUAAAUUUAAAGGUUAUGAUUAACUGAUCUCUAACCCUAGCUCACCUUUCCCCCUUAUAAAGGUCAUAAAAAUCUUUCCACCUUAUAUAAAUAUUAUAUAUAUAUAUAUAUAUAUAUAUAUACACAGUGUAGAUUGGAUUAGUCGUAUUAGUCCUGCAGAUAAGAUGCCAAAAUCCCAGAGUAUUGCAGUAUGCAGUGAUACCUUUUUUAUUAGACUAACGUAAUAUUUACACGUCAAGCUUUCGAGAGUUUUCCUCUCUUCCUCGGGUCUGAAGCAAUACUGAUCAAUCUGAGUUUAACACUUAAAUGAACUGAUGUUAGAGAAGGGUGGGAAAGAGUGAGUGGGGUGUCAUAAAUAGCAGAAGAUGUGUCUGAAAGUAAAAGGUGCAGAUUGGUUGAAUAGCCAGAAAAGGUAAAUAAACAGCAGAGAGUCAAUAAGCUAGUUAAAAAGAAAAAAAUGAAAAAGAAAAUUGGUAGUGUGUCAGAAAGCCAGAGUCUACAUUAAGUCCUUCAUUUAUGGUGUUGAAUGUGUGAUCAUUUUCAUCUCAAAUGCCUUGUUCAAGAGAGUCUUUAAAAUUCUCUUUAAGAACUUUAAUCUUGAGGUUUUGGAUCAAGUGAUCAUGCUGGGUGAAGUGAUGACCAGUGGCCAGAUUUUCCAAUGUAGCAACCUGUCACACACUGUACACUGUAUCAUGUACACUACAUUCUUGGAUGUGCACGAAUAUGAAUCCUUAAUGUUGUAUGAUUAGGUAUCAUUGCAUACUGCAAUACUGUGGUAUUUUGGCAUUAUAUAUAUAUAUAUAUAUAUACACAUACACAGCUUUAAUCAAAAUUAUUCAACCCCCAUUAAAAAUCAGGUGUACUGUCAAAAUUUACAGACUUUUAGCUGUUUGAUGAACAAAUCAAACAUAAGCAAUUGAAAUAGCUGAACACAACAAAUUCUUUGUGGUUACCCCAAAUUCAUUUGAAAAUGCAACUUAUAAUUACUUCUCAAGUCACAAACUUAUUCAACCCCCUGAAUAAAAUCCCUUAUCACAGCACAAAUAUGCAAAACAAGUGUUGUGUCAAGCACAUCUGGUGCAUCUUAUCAAGGGUUAGUUGCACCAGGUGUGCUUGAGCUGGAACACUUCAAAUACCUAAACUGGCUAGGGUUUUUUUUGAGUGUCACGUCUGACUGCAUGUUAGAAAAAUGGCUAAGUGAAAAGAAUGGUCCACAAAGUUAAGAGAAGAGAUCAUCGUCCUUCACAAACAAGGAACAGAAUACAAAACAAUAUCAAAGACACUGAAUGUUCCUAGAGGCAGCGUUGGAAGCAUAGUUCCCAAGUUCUAAGUUGUAGCAACAGUGGUUACACAACCUUGACGGCACAGAAAAGGGAAGCUAUCAAUGGCUGCAACCAGAUUUCGAGUGACUACAAAAGACCUGCAGCAAGACUUGUUGACAACAGGCAAGGCGGUUUCAGGGAGGACAGUAAGGCGCUUACUAAAUGCAGAAUGUUUCCAUGCUAGAACUCCGAAACAUACACCACUACUGACCCAAAAUCACAAGAAAAGUUGGCAUAAAUAUGCUCAAAGUCAUAUAAAUAAGCCACAGAAGUUUUUGGAUUCGGUUCUGUGGAGCGAUGAAACGAAACUCUAAUUUUCUGGCCCAAUGGAUCAGCGGUCAUGUCUGGAGGAAGAAGAAUGAAGCAUACACUGAAAAGAACACUCUGCCUACAGUUAAGCAUGGUGGUGGCUCAGUGACGCUCUUGUACUGCUUUGCAUCCUCUGGCACUGGAAACCUGCAGCGUGUGGAAGACAAAAUUGAUUAACUGCAUUCUCAGGAAAUCCUAGGAGAAAACAUUGUGCUGUCUGUGAAGAAGCUGAAGCUUGGGCAUCAUUGGACCUUCCAACAAGACAUGAUCCCGAGCAUAACUCAAAUUUCAACAAUGUUUUGUUGCAGGAGACUUCCUGGAAAAUUGGACAGUGGCCAUCACGGUUACCUGACUGGAAUCCCAUAGAAAAUCUCUGGUGGGAUCUGAAGACGGCAGAUGCAGCACGCAAACCCAAGAAUAUUACUGAAUAUUACUGAAAUGGAAGCCAUUGCUAAUGAGCAAUGGGCUAAGAUGCCUGAGAAGCUUCCAGAAGCUGGUGUCUGGCUAUGUAUCUCGUUUGUAGCAGCUCAUAACAGCAAAAGGGGUGCUCUGCUAAGUUCUAAAGAUGCUUGUCAUGAAGGAGUUGAAUAAUUUUGAUACCUGAGAAGUCAUUACCCCAUCACCAACACGGUAUUAUAGAAUUGUAGUCCCCCGGAGCUAUUUUACAUUGUUUAUGUUCUUGGUAGGAUCGUUUAUUGGACUGCAUACUUCAAGGGACUUCAAGUUUCCAGUUUUCACGGUGUCGGGACACGAGCAGCUGGAGUUAGUAAAUUAAUUAAUUGUUUAGGAUAUAUAUUGGAUGUAUAUUGUCCUGAGACAGGACUGGGAUCACGUCCGAAACAUUGAAGUUUUUUUAUUUUUUCCAUUAACCAAGACCUUUGAGUGCCCACUUUUUUGGCUAUAUUACAAGACAUAUAUAUAUUUGGUGGAAUAAACGUGCAAUAUUUAAACCAUUCUGGAAGUCGAUUUUUAUUUAUAUAAAUUACCACUGAAAGAUACAAAUUGCCAACCACAUACAGCACUAUUUAGAAUAUAUCUACCGGGGAAAUUAUGUCUUAAAGUAAAUGAAAGCUAACUGUAACAAUGUCACUCUAAUAAUGUUAAACAUGCCACCAGUGCGUCAUUUGUACCACGGAGCACGGUAACGGUGUCACUCUAAUAAUGUUAAACAUACCACCAGUGCGUCAUUCUUACCACGGAGCACGGUAACGGUGUCACUCUAAUAUUGUUAAACAUGCCACCAGUGCGUCAUUCGUACCACAGAGCACUGUAACGAUGUCACUCUAAUAAUGUUAAACAUGCCACCAGUGCGUCAUUCUUACCACGGAGCAUGGUAACGGUGUCACUCUAAUAUGUUAAACAUGCCACCAGUGCAUUCGUACCACAGAGCACUGUAACGAUGUCACUCUAAUAAUGUUAAACAUGCCACCAGUGCGUCAUUCGUACCACAGAGCACUGUAACGGUGUCACUCUAAUAAUGUUAAACAUGCCACCAGUGCGUCAUUCGUGGAGCACUGUAACGAUGUCACUCUAAUAAUGUUAAACAUGCCACCAGGUACCACGGAGCACGGUAACGGUGUCACUCUAAUAAUGUUAAACAUGCCACCAGUCAUUCGUACCACGGAGCACGGUAACGGUGUCACUCAAAUAAUGUUAAACAUGCCACCAGUGCGUCAUUCGUACCACAGAGCACUGUAACGGUGUCACUCUAAUAAUGUUAAACAUGCCACCAGUGUACCACGGAGCACGGUAACGGUGUCACUCUAAUAAUGUUAAACAUGCCACCAGUCAUUCGUACCACGGAGCACGGUAACGGUGUCACUCUAAUAAUGUUAAACAUGCCACCAGUCAUUCGUACCACGGAGCACGGUAACGGUGUCACUCUAAUAAUGUUAAACAUGCCACCAGUCAUUCGUACCACGGAGCACGGUAACGGUGUCACUCUAAUAAUGUUAAACAUGCCACCAGUCAUUCGUACCACGGAGCACGGUAACGGUGUCACUCUAAUAAUGUUAAACAUGCCACCAGUGCGUCAUUCGUACCACGGAGCACGGUAACGAUGUCACUCUAAUAAUGUUAAACAUGCCACCAGUGUGUCAUUCUCACUCCUUGGUUCCAUUGCACAAAAACCUCAUAAAACAUCCCACAGUGUCAUUUAUUGUGAAUUAUUUAAGAGUGACCCAGCUAGGUUAUAUAUUUCUGUUUUAUGAAUUAAUCAUUACUAAACUGGGAAUUGGCAUGAGAACUGCCUAAAUUAAGCCAAAACCGGAUGAGCUGGAAAAUUUGACCAAUUCACAAUCUGGUCUAAAAUGCUUUCCCCUUUUCAAACUGUCACAAUUACCAGAUUGGUUACACAGUUUUCACAUCUAGCCGUUUGACCUGUUAGAUUCCAUCCACUAGGUGGUGAUGUUUUUGUUUUUGUUGAUUGAUUUUUUUUUUUAGGGACACUAUAGUCACCAGAACCACUACAGCUUAUUGUAGUUGUUCUGGUGAGUAUAGCCUGUCUCUUUAGGCUUUUUUAUGUAAACACUGCCUUUUCAGAGAAAAGGCACUGCUUACAUUAGAGCCUAGGAACACCUCUACUGGCCAACCCUCAGAUGGCAACUGGAGGUGCUUCCUGGGGCAUUGCUGCCCAACACCAUUCAGCAUCUCGACACUCUGCAUGGAGACGCUAAACUUUCACUAUAGAGGAGAUGCCGACUGGUGCAGCGUUUUGCCAUGCAUACGCAGUAACCUCCCAGUGCUUUCUUGGGAAAACUAAAAUAAUCAAAUCUGAUUAUGUCAGCCAAGGAAGUCGGACAGGGAGGCAGGGCCAGACACGAGGAGCCUCGUACGGCGCUGGGAAAAGGUGAGUAAACCACCUUUCUAAACCAAUGUAAGGGGAACCAACCACCUACACGGUGGUUUUAGAAGGAUAGUGUCAGGAAUAGGCAUUCUGUUCCUGACACUAUAGUGCAAUUUUAAUAAGCGAAAAGGAGACUUUAUUACUUAUGUGUAUGACAGUGACCCUGGAAUAUCAAUAUCCUUCCAUAUGUUAUUAAAAUGUUUGUACUUAAUCUUUGUAAGGUACUAUAUACUUAUGCUAUGUCUCCUUUCAAAAAGUUAAACAUAUGCUGUAAAAAAGAUAAAGAUACAUAAGAAUGUAACUAUUUGGAGCAAAUGUCCACAGUCUUUGAAAAAUAAUAUAUAAAAUUUCUCCAGUUUUAGUAAUAAACUGGGAGAGCAGAACAUGAGUCUAAAUUUGGGUGUUUCACAUGGUUUUGGGAUAUUUGGGAGAUUGCAUAGUUUUACACAAGACAUUUCUAAAUAUGUUUUUUUAGGGGUUUUCUCUGUCGUAUCUGAAGUAGGGUAACAUAAUUUCAGUUUCAAUGGAACAUUUCAAGCACCAUAACCACUACAGCUCACCCCCACAGUGUAAGGAGUAAAACUGCUUUGGAACAAUCCGACCGGUGCUGUCCCUAGCCUUCUCUAUCAACGCUGGAAAGCUGUAAUUUCAUAAGUAUCUUAUGUUAUUCUCCCUAAAAUACAGAGCGAUUAGAUGACAUGUUCAGCAAAGAUUCUAAGCCAUGUAUUACAGGGCUAACAGAAGAAGUAAUGGAACUACUAGUACCAUAUUCACUACACCGGACAUAGACAGAUGCGGUUUUAAUAGUUUAUAGCAAGCAUGUCAAACUCGCGGCCCACAAUGGACAUCUUUGUGGCCCGGCGAGCCUCAAGUACAUGCCUAGUGUUCCAAGCAGAGUAGGCAUUACGGCACCCGGCAUCACUGCGUGCGAGGGAGCAGUGAGGAGCAGAUAGAAGAUCCGCUGGGAGAGGCCCCACAUCAGUUCCCAAAGGUAGGGAACAAUCAAGAAAAUGAUAAUGUGUGCAACUAAACAAUAUGAUAUAAUAGGCAUAACUGAAACAUGGUGGGAUGAGACACAUGACUGGGCAGUUAAGUUAAAUGGGUACAUGUUAUUUAGGAAGGAUAGGAAAAACAAGAAGGGUGGUGGGGUAUGUUUGAAUGUCAACCAUGAUUUAAAGCCAAAUAUUAAGCAAAUGGAAUGCGAUGAGGAAAAUGUGGAAGCUUGAUGGGUAAAUAUCUGCUUUGGGGAAAAGAAGGGAAACCAACUAUUGGUUGGGAUAUGUUAUAAACCACCUAAUGUUAAUACUGACGAGGAACAACAGCUGUUUGAGCAAAUUGAGAAAGCUGAAAAUCUGGGUAACACUUUAAUUAUUGGAGAUUUUAAUUACCCGGACAUAAAUUGGGACAGAGGGACUAGUAGCUCAGCAAAGGGAAUUAGGUUUUUAAACUUGUUAAAUGACACCUUCAUGUCACAACUUGUACAAGCACCAGCUAGAAUGGAUGCUUGUCUGGAACUGGUUUUAACAAACAACGUUGAUCUUUUGACCAACAUUCAAGUAGGUUAGCACUUGGGAAAUAGUGAUCACAAUAUAGUGUCCUUUGAAAUAAACUCAAAAAAACAAAAGCACAUGGGGAAUACUAAAACAUAUAAUUUUAAAAAGGCCAAUUUCAAUAAGUUAAGGGCAGCUUUACAAUAUAUUGACUGGCAUAAACUCUUUAGUGAAAAGAACACUGAGGAUAAAUGGAUCAUCUUCCAACAAAUAUUAGAAAGGUACAUUUUUCAGUAUGUACCAUUGGGAAAUAAAUAUAAAAGAAACAAAUUAAAACCAAUGUGGCUUAGUAGAGAAGUAAAACAAGAGAUUAAAAAUAAGAAAAGAGCAUUUAAAGCAUUUAAAUCGGACAAAUCAGAUGCAUCUUAUAAAAGAUAUAAGGAAGCAAAUAAUGCGUGCAAAAAGGCAAUUAGACUUGCUAAACUUCAAAAUGAAAAAAUGAUAGCUAAAGAGAGCAAAACCAACCCCAAAGCAUUUUUUAAGUACAUAAAUUCUAAAAAAACCAAAAAUGAAAGUGUAGGUACACUAAAAACUGAAACGGGGUGUUAGUUAAUGAAGACCAGGAAAAGGCAGGAAUUUUAAAUAACUAUUUCUCCUCCGUAUAUAUUAAGGAAGAACCCAUGGCAACAGAUGUGCAAAUGAUUGCUACUAAAAACUUGCAGAAUAAUUGUAAUUGGUUAACUCAAGACAAGGUGUUGCAGCAACUGAAGAAAGUUAAUAUAAACAAAGCUCCAGGGCCUGAUGGUAUCCAUCCACAUGUACUUAAGGAACUAAGUGUAGAAAUAAGUGAACCUCUGUUUUUAAUCUUUCAAAAUUCUUUUCUUUCAGGAAGUGUUCCGGAGGAUUGGAGGAAGGCAGAUGUGGUUCCUAUAUUCAAAAAGGGUUCAAAAACCUUGCCUGGAAAUUAUAGACCUGUGAGCUUAACUUCUGUGGCUGGUAAAAUAUUUGAAAGGUUAUUAAGGGAUAAUAUUCAAGAAUUCCUUGAGAAGAACAUGAUUAUCAGCAAAAAUCAGCACGGUUUUAUGAAGCACAGGUCAUGUCAAACUAACUUGAUUGCAUUCUACGAAGAAGUAAUUAGAAGUAUAGAUCAGGAUGUUGCAGUGGAUGUGAUCUAUUUGGAUUUUGCCAAGGCAUUUGAUACAGUUCCACACAAUAGAUAAUGUUCAAACUCAAGGAAAUCGGUUUAGAUGAAAAUGCUUGUUCUUGGGUAGAACAUUGGCUUAAAAAC